GCAAGGAGACGGGCACAGAGAAACAUAGAAACAGAAACGUGAAUCUUCUUCUCCUUUCCUUUGUUUUCCAAAAACAAAACUAAAACUAUAAAACACAAACCCCCAUUUAUUUACUAGAUCUAAGAUUCCAUUCGAGAAGUGGCAGAAGAGAAAGUUGCUCAUCGCCACGCUGCGGUGCUAGUGAUCUAGUUUUCGACGCGACGUCACAAACUUAAAUUUUACCGGAAUUAAUUACGGUACCGUAAUUGCGUGUUAGAGCUAUCGUUAAGGUAAGGGCUCCUUCCAAACUUUUAGUUUGCAUUUAGGACAUUAUUUGUGAUUUUGUGGAAAAGAAAUUUGAUGUAUUUGAUGUGUGAUUUUGUGAAAAAUGAAUUUAAUUAGUUUAUGUGUGAUUUAGUUGAAAUUUAAUUUAGUUUGUUUUGAGUUCUGUUUUGUAGUGAUUGAAUCCCAUAAUAUCCACUGUUAGUUAUUUAGUUAUUUAUUUAUCUACUGAUUGGUUAUGAAAUUGGGACUAUGAGUAACAUGUUUGUGUUUUGAAUUCAUGGUUAGAGUUUUUAUAUUUCCGAAAUUGGGGAUUUUGUGAUUAUGCAAUUGUGGAUUUUUAUAUAUCCAAGAUUGGUACAUAUUUCUUUUGUAUCUAUUUGAUUGUUGUUGAUUUCAACACAUUGUUGUGUUGUUGAUAUAUUUUGAGGUCUUGCUUUUGCAUGGUGACAGUGACAUUUUGGAAUUGUUGUUGAAUUAACUAUGAGUUUGUUGUGGGAUAUGACUGACCAAACCCAUACAAGCUGAAUCAGUGCGUUACUUGGUUUGUUCAAUUUUGCUGGUUUUUUUUAUUAAAGAAAAAUGGGCAUGAAUAACUGAAAAUUACAAUUUUGUGUGUUGUGUUGUUGUAUGUAUUAAAAACUUCAGAAAUAUCUUAGUUCCUGAAUGAGCAAUAUGAUAGAGUUUCUAAAUGGAAAUAGUCUGGAGUGCUUGGAGUUAGUAUUGUAGAAGGUAGUGUGCUCAAGUUAAGGGGAUCAAUCAAAUGCAAGUGUGUGGAGAUGGGUUUGAAGGUUAUUUUUUUUGACAAGACGGUUUGAAGGUUUUUAAGAAAUGAAGAAUGGAGUUUACUUUAUUGUGUAUAAUUGUUGCUGUUUUUUUUUAGAUUUGUGAAGCAGGACAUGGAGAUAAAUUAUUUUGGGUUCAAUUUUUUAAUAAAGAUUUUGCUUCUUAAAAUAAAAUGUUGUCUGAUGUGUCCAAAAUUGGUGGUUGUUGUUGCUAUUGAUGUUACCAAAUGAGCAAAAAGAUAGAUUGAAAUUAAAAAUGGUUAGAGUUUAAAAUGUUACUCUUUUAAUUACUCUUGGACUGACUUUAAAAAGAAAAAAAAAGGGUUUAAAAAGUUUAGAGUAUUUUAUUAACUUAAAAAUUUCGGUGCUUUAAUAGUCGAGUAUGUGUAUGUGAAAUUUGGACAAUAUUUGUUUUAUUCAGUUUUAAGUAAAUAAUAUAGAUUAUUUGGUUUUAAAAGUUUGGUGUGUGAGAAAGAUUUAAUUUUAGGAAUUUUGUUGUGUGUGGAUUAAUUUUAUUGUGAACAAAUUGUUAUAAAUAUUUAUGUUUAUGUAGUUAGCUCCUUGAGUCUCGAAAAGGAAUCGAGACCGUUGGCACCGAGUUAGCGGUGGGGAGAACUUUGGUAUAUUAAUGUUGUUGUGGUGAUUUAUGGUUGAAAAUUUUGAAGAUUGAAUAUGGGUGAUUAAUGUUUGGAAAUUUUGGUGAUUCAUGUUUGGUGAAAUUGAUGUGUUCAUAAUUAAUAUUAUGAAUUUUUUUUUAGAAGAAAUUUAUGUGUGACUUGGUGGAAAAUGAAUUUAAUUCAAUUUAGGUGUGAAUGGAAUUUGGAGUUGUGAUUUAUGUGUGGUUGUAGAAAUUUUAAUUGGUGUGAAUAAAUAUGUUUGAGUAUGCUCUGUGUUGUGUUUGAAAAAAAUCAUUAGUGUUAAAUGAGUAUUAAAAAUGAGGAAUCUUUUAAUAGCUGCAUUUACUUAAUGAUAAUGGUGAAAAGAAUUAGAGUAUGCUCAUGCAUUUCAUAGUACAUGGUGACCGCGAUGGGGCCAUGGUGAUAGUGGUGACCAUAAUGGGUCACAGGAUGAUGCCAUGUGAAUUGUUGGUUCAUCUUAUCCUUGCGGGGAUUAUCGCGUCGUGCUGAUCUAUGAGAGAUUACACUCUAGAAUAUGCUGAUCUGUGAGCGAUUGCACUCUAGAAAAUCGUGAUGGUCAGUGAGAGACUGCACGCUAGUAAAUUGUGCUGGUCUGUGAGUGACUGCACUCUUGUAUGUCGUGCUGGUCUGUGAGAGACUGCACGCUAGUAAAUCGUGGAUCCGUGAGAGAGAUUGCACCUUGGUAAUUAGUACUGGUCUGUGAGAGGCUGUACAAUUAUGAUUUACGCC
Molecule: long non-coding RNA, 2413 nt
Filed under: Cicer arietinum (chickpea)
Lineage: Eukaryota; Viridiplantae; Streptophyta; Magnoliopsida; Fabales; Fabaceae
Description: long non-coding RNA (CARI_LNC002379)
Source: RNAcentral